ACCUGUUCCCAUACCGAACACAGAAGUUAAGCCUCUUAGCGCUGAUGGUACUUGGCUGGAAACGGCCCGGGAGAGUAGGUCGUCGCCGGAU
This 91-nucleotide ribosomal RNA is filed under the name Clostridiales bacterium. The record is from RNAcentral. Lineage: Bacteria; Bacillati; Bacillota; Clostridia; Eubacteriales.